GUUCCCAUACCGAACACGGAAGUUAAGCUUCUCAGCGCCGAUGGUAGUUGGGGGCUGUCCCCCUGUGAGAGUAGGACGCUGCCGGGC
RNAcentral lists this ribosomal RNA (87 nucleotides) under Cytobacillus oceanisediminis. The record is from RNAcentral. RNAcentral also lists the same sequence under 1 other name. Lineage: Bacteria; Bacillati; Bacillota; Bacilli; Caryophanales; Bacillaceae.